This is a long non-coding RNA of Frieseomelitta varia, 1369 nucleotides long. RefSeq lists it as uncharacterized. Lineage: Eukaryota; Metazoa; Arthropoda; Insecta; Hymenoptera; Apidae. The transcript is spliced from 3 exons. The record is from RefSeq and is a predicted model, not a curated record.
CUACUUUCUCUAUUUUUUUCUCAACUUUAGCAACUACAUGGAGGGGAUAGCGCUAGUGGCGAGGAAAGUGGAGGGGAUAGCGCUAUGGCGAGGAAAGUGGAGGGGAUAGCGCUAGUGGCGAGGAAAGUGGAGGGGAUAGCGCUGGUAACGAGGAAAGUGGAGGGAGAAAGGGCUGCCAGUUCGCCACCUCUACUGUAGAAUAACUUGACGAGUAGUCAGUCUCGAGGAGUUUUUUUGCCGUUCUUUUUUUUAGAGAAAAGUCAGCCAAUCGGACUCGAUUUGUUUUCAAAUUAUGCUACCCAGACGUAACUUUCGACAGAUGUUUUACAGAUGGUACCAGGCUGCUCGAAAGUCUCCAGAGCACGACUCGACGAUCGUUGGAACAAGCGAGGAUCCAACAGUAUGCUUCGAGCACCGAACCGAAACUUCUCGCGAUUCGAGACGACGCGAUUAAAAUCGUCUCGCGAACCUUUCAACUUUCGCUUCCCUGUAAUCUCGCACGGCCACGCCACGUCUCGCCUGACACUGCUGAACGACACGGUUGGUUCGCGACACGGUUCGAGAGGCUUUCGACGAGCCAGAGUCUCCCACGGAGACUUUCGCCAACUUGCUGCCGCGAACAAUAUUCGAAACGACUGGAAAGUUUCCACGCCAGGUGGGACUCCUUGUUCCACGCCAACUGCUAACCACGCUCCCGUUAAUCAGCCCGUCGUUUGCAUCGAUCCUUCUGCGGACGUCCUUCGGCGGAAAAUUCCCCCGGAGCAACUUGCCACUUCGGAUUCCGGGGAACACGUGUGGCAAGCACGCGGUUUAUAAUAGAAGGUGGCUUCUCCCUCAGCGUUCCGUGCGGCGUCACGCGGAACAGAACGGCCGAAUUAAACUCUCUUCUGCCAGAGUUUCCAACGUAUCGCGUUUUCUAAUUUCGAACGGAAUCGUCACGAGAAGCGCCGAUUGUCGCUGAUUAAUACUAGGUUAAGUCCGGGUGAAAUAGAAUUAUUGAUUAAUUUUGAGCUCUGUUUAAAUGUUGUCAAAUUUUAGGUGUUGUCAAAUAUCAAUGUUCUGCUCAUCUUUUGAAUUAUUUAAUAAUUUAAACAAAUUGUGUAGUAAUUCUUUUAAAAAAAAGUGGGCCAUCACUACCCCGACUUUUUUGUUCUCGUUCCAACGACAACAACACUUCCAUCGAUUCAAAUUAAUAGGAUUAAUUUGCCAUUUGCAUCACCGGACGAAAUAUCCCGCGAGUAAAUGAUAAAACGCAGAAUAAUACGAGGGAUUGAGAAUCUUUUGCAUUUGUUAAUUAGCGUGAGUGACUUCUCAUUAAAAACUACUCGUAUCUUGCCUUUAAUGUUAACCUUUAAUAUUGAAACUAUCA